GCCGCGGUGUGAGGGAGCGGGAGUCUUCCUUAGCUUCUCCGCCAUGGGUGUCGCUUCGUAGCCGGGCUGCUCCGGGAAAGGCCUCGUACAGCACGCAUUCACCAGAAUCCUGUCAGCUUUCCUCUUCUCAUCCAGACGCCUGGCCAGGAUCCUCGAUAAGACCGUGACCCCCAACUUGGACACCCCAUAAGGAAAACUAGACAAUCCACCAGCCCAGGAGGGGACAAGCAGGCUUAUUCCUCCUCCUCGUCAUCUCUGGCUCCAGCCCCACCCUGGCCCUUGCUGGCAUUCUUCCUCUUCACGUGGCUGGGGUUGGCCACCCCAAUAGGGAAGCAGAGGGAGAAGUCAAUGUGCUUCUGGGAAUCCAGGCGGACAGUGAAGAACAGGAUAUUUACCACCUGCUCACGGACACGGAUAUGACACUGUUGAAUCAGCACAUGAGCGUGGCGGAUGGACUUAGCCAAGCCAAGCUUGAAGACCUGGGUCUGUAGGAAUCUCUAAGAAAUCAUUGAUCUUCAGGCCCAGGAUGUAAUCCAGCUUCAUCUUGCCCUCAUCCAGCACCCCAGUGCGGACCAGCCACUGCAGCAGGGCAAUGCCUUCGAACAGACGCCGUGGGUCCUUCUCAUCAAGCGUCAGCAGCUCCCGGGCGGCCUUAUGGAUCUUGACCAGGGUAAAUUUGACCCUCCAGACCUCACAUUUGUUCUGGAGCCCAUACUCACCAAUCAGCUUUAGCUUUUGGUCGAGAUGAGGUUUCUCGAAGGGUCUCUGCAGGGUCACAUAAGUUUGGCAACAAACCCAGCUCUGGGCCGCUGGCAUGUUGGCUCCACUUGCCCGUCUAUGCCUAAGCACAGGCCCUGGUCACUGAGAAAGAGCUCAAAUUUUUUAUAUAUUUCAUCUAAGGUGUUGAUUCUAUUGAUACCCUUAUCCUUUUAACAUGCCCUUAUCCUUUUAAUGUUGGUAAUGAUGCUACCUGUCAUUUCUGAGACUGGUUUGUGUCUUUCGUGUUUUUUUCUGAUCUGUCUGGCUAGAGGUUUACCAAUUGAUUUGAUUUUCCUCAAACUUCUGGUUACAAUGAUUCUCUCUCUCUCUCUUUUCCUGAUUAUAUUAAUUUCUGUUCUGAUCUUUGUUUCCUUUCUUCUGCUUACUGGAUUUUAUUUGCUCUUUUUCUGGUUUCUUACUGUAAAGGCAGAAGUCAUUGAUUUGCAUUGAUUUGAGACUUCUUUUCUAAUGUAGGCAGUAAGUGGUGUAAAUUCCCUUUUAGUAUGACUUUAGUGGCAUCUCACAUUGAUAUGUUUUCAAUUUCAUUCAGUUUAUUUUUAUUUAUUUUUUAAAUUAUUUAUUUAUUUAUUUAUUUUGAGUUGUGUAGCCCUUUAUUAGCAACUAAAAUAGAAGGUAUCUGUUGUACAACAUGGGUAGUAAUUGACUAUAACUGGAGAUUUAUUAUAUUCUAAUACAGAUCAUUUAUAAAUGCAAUUUCUUUAUUAAAAAGCUUCCACCUU
This 1499-nucleotide long non-coding RNA is filed under the name Homo sapiens (human). RNAcentral's name for it is "non-protein coding CBR3-AS1:11". The record is from RNAcentral. Lineage: Eukaryota; Metazoa; Chordata; Mammalia; Primates; Hominidae.